CUACGGGUUGCACCAGUAAGGAAUAUUGCGCAAUGGUCGCAAGACUGACGCAGCAACGCCGCGUGGAUGAUGAAGCUCUAUGGAGUGUAAAGUCCUGUUAGAAGGGAAGAAUGGUGUGAAUUAAAAGAUUCAUACGUGACGGUACCCUCAGAGAAAGCCCCGGCUAACUCCGUGGCCAGCAGCCGCGGUAAUACGGGGGGGGCAAGCGUUGUCCGGAAUUACUGGGCGUAAAGGGCGCGUAGGUGGAAAUGUAAGUUAGGGGUGAAAGCCAGCAGCUUAACUGCUGGUCUGCCUUUAAUACUGCAAUUCUUGAGUGCGAAAGAGGGAAGCGGAAUUCUUGGUGUAGCGGUGAAAUGCGUAGAUAUCAAGAAGAACACCGGUAGCGUAGGCGGCUUCCUGGUUCGUAACUGACACUGAUGCGCGAAAGUGUGGGGAGCAAACAGGAUUAGAUACCCCGGUAGUC
RNAcentral lists this ribosomal RNA (463 nucleotides) under uncultured bacterium. RNAcentral's name for it is "partial 16S ribosomal RNA". It matches the Rfam family "Bacterial small subunit ribosomal RNA", at positions 339 to 795 of the family's 1533-position model. The record is from RNAcentral.